CUCCUCUCGACCAAUCAGAGUCGAGUAAUUUUGUUGAGUGUACUAUAAACAAGAAAAAAAAAUUAGCCGGAAUUCCGAGAUUCACGGACCGGAAGCUAAGUCAAGUCGGUUUACAGCCAGAGCCUCUCUUUUUCCGGUGCUGAGGAAGAAUAACGUGGGCUCUUGGUAAGAGGAACGACCAAAAUAUAUAGUAUAUAUCAAUAGCUUGGGCUACCUGUGGUCGAACCAUAAGGAACGCGGGCGCGCGGCGGGCUCAGACUUAAAUUCAAAGUUGACCAAAUUAUUCAUGCAGUCAGCUGUAAAAAAAACUUCAAUUUGAAAAGAAUUAUUUACCAACUUCGCCUUAUUCUGGAUCAGGAAAAGUGAACUAAGAAGUGAAGAAGGGAUUUAAACGCAACACAGGCACAGAUCGAGUUUAACGGUCUCCUCGAACUCACCAACAGCAGAUAACAAUGAAAGAACUACGAGAUCAACGCUUCUUGUAGAGCACCCAACACUUCACACAACCAAUUCGCGGUGAACACCAUUGGUAUGAUGAUAGGUUAGGAGGAUGUCGAAGAUCGGGCUCCCUGUUUAGGUGACUAGAGGCGAAGGCCUGGAGAGAAUUCCUUUUUUACACAGGAAUACCAGUUCUGGGAAAACCACUGAUUGAACAAGUUCUGAAAUGACAUGAGCAAGUAGACACAAAGGAAAAACAAGAGGAAUGGCCUACACAAGACACCGACGACAAGUUCUUCCAUAAGGUUUCCAAGCAAAUCCUUUUAACAGUUGAUAGAUAAUUAAAUGGUACAAGUACUCCGUUAAUUAAAGCUAAGUCAAGAUGAAUCACGUCAAAACGAAGUAAACUUGCCUUGUACUUCAAAUAUAAUAAUCAAAUYUGUAACUCAAAACUCUCAGUUUAAAGAGAUGUUAGCUGGCCUCUAACAUUUGAUUUACAAUCUUUUUAUCUGCGAUAUUUAUAAURACCAAAAUAGAAAAUAGGACAAUAAUGGCGGCGAUUUCAAAGCCAUGAGACCGCCAUGCCGAAGUGAGAUAGUGAACGAAUAAGAACUGCUAACAUUCUGUUAUACAAGACAUGAAACAGUAAAUACAUUGAUCCAGUUAUCAGCUACAUUAGAUUUUUUUGUAAUGGCGGUAAAUGGAGUUGAUAGAUGUAAGCUGCGCAUUAAUAUCAUGAAGUGAUUCUUUUGGAAGCACCGACCGUGCUGAUGAAAAUSAAACACAAACGAGUCAAACUUUGGUUAUAAAUUUGCAAUAAAGCAAUCAGUCUGAGGUAUACCUCAGUGUAUAAAAGAUACAUAUUGGCAACAAAAGAGCGGACGGGUUGAA
Long non-coding RNA from Actinia tenebrosa (Australian red waratah sea anemone), 1329 nucleotides. RefSeq lists it as uncharacterized. The record is from RefSeq and is a predicted model, not a curated record. Lineage: Eukaryota; Metazoa; Cnidaria; Anthozoa; Actiniaria; Actiniidae.